UUUCACACUUUAACUCUUUAACACUUCAACACUUUAACUCUUUAACACUUUAAAGUGUUAAAGUGUUAAAGAGUUAAAGAGUUAAAGUGUUAG
This 93-nucleotide microRNA precursor is filed under the name Xyrichtys novacula (pearly razorfish). Lineage: Eukaryota; Metazoa; Chordata; Actinopteri; Labriformes; Labridae. The record is from RNAcentral.